Molecule: non-coding RNA, 777 nt
Organism: Benincasa hispida (wax gourd)
Lineage: Eukaryota; Viridiplantae; Streptophyta; Magnoliopsida; Cucurbitales; Cucurbitaceae
Source: RefSeq, a predicted model, not a curated record
CCAUCUAUUACAUUUUUUUCAGUAUCGCCCGUUGCAGACUCCGUCUUCUCCCCUAUCUUCUCCUUUUAACUUAUCCCUCUGCCUUCUCCCUUGUGAUCCUCUUCUUCUCUGGUCAUGGUUUAAACACCUUCAUGGUCCAACAUUCCUAUAGAUUAUCAUCUUCUGCCAUCUUCUUCUAUUUUGUUUGAUUUGAGAAACUCCUAUGGUCCAACUCCAUCAUCUUCUUAAUGUUCCUAACUUGGGUUUUACUUCUUCCUUAAGUUGAAAUUUUUAAUCAAAGAAAAGGGAAGAAUACGGCAUCAAUGGAGGUUAUAUUUGUGGCGGUGGAAACUGGUUAGGAACGUAUUGAACAAAUAGAUAAUGAAGGGACAAACACUUCCUCAACUAAUAUGAAAGAUGAUGCAACAAGCAAAGUUCUUAGUCAUGAUCGUGGUCAUGUUAGAGGACUCAGAUUUGGGGUGACCACGUCAAAGUUGUCUACAUUUUCUCAAAGAGAUAGUUAUACCCAACUUGAAGAAAAGUGUAACAAAAUGGAGGGAGAGAUGAUUGAAAUGAGAUCUUUGAUAUCUCACCUACUCAAAAUUCAAGUUGAUGAAGGACUAUUAGUACAUGCAUCUUCAGAUAUUUUGUGAUCGACUACAUACACAACUAAGUUGGAGUUAUUUUGGAAUUUGAUAUCGACAUAUUUUGUAAUUUAUAAAUUUAUGUUUUGUUUCAUCUCCAGGUUUCUAGUACUCAUUACUAUAUAUCUUUUUGGGAUAGUUGCAAAUAUAGACA